GACGAACGCUGGCGGCGUGCUUAACACAUGCAAGUCGAACGGAGUGGCGAAAGGGGGAGUAACACGUGGGGGACAUGCCCUGCACGUCGGGAAAAGCCUGGGAAACUGGGUCUUAUACCGGAAAGUGUGGGAUGGGCCCGCGGCCUGUGGGCUUGUGGGUGGGGUAAUGGCCUACCAAGGCGGCGACGGGUAGCCGGCCUGAGAGGGGGGACGGCAACAUUGGGACUGCGGCACGGCCCAGACUCCUACGGGAGGCAGCAGUGGUGAAUAUUGCACAAUGGGCGGAAGCCUGAUGCAGCGACGCCAGGUGGGGGAUGACGGCCUUCGGGUUGUAAACGCCUUUCACCAUCGACGCGGUAGAUGGAGAAGAAGCACCGGCUAACUACGUGCCAGCAGCCGCGGUAAUUC
Molecule: ribosomal RNA, 408 nt
Filed under: uncultured bacterium
Lineage: Bacteria
Description: partial 16S ribosomal RNA
Rfam family: Bacterial small subunit ribosomal RNA
Source: RNAcentral